AGAAGACUGGGGCAGGACCUUGCAGUAAUACUGAGAGCUCAUGUCAUCGCUGCUUGGGAGAAGAGCUGGGCCACCUGAAUUAUCCUGGAGGAGAACUCUUCAUUUUUUUCCACAGAUAGCAAAAGAUUUUGAACAGUUUUCAGAUGUUCUGUGCCAUCCCCCAGUGUAGUACCUCAGCCAUGAGCAUAAACUUCCAGAGUCACAGUGAAGUUUCCUGCAGUUUUAAGCCUUUAUUGUGCUCUCAGAACUGCUGGUCAAGAUUUCAGGAUUCACUGACUUACUAAUACUACAGUUAAGUCCCUAAGCAGGCCAGUAAGGCUGUCCCACAAGUGUAUAAUUAAGUCUAUAAAUUAAAUAUAUAUAUUCUCAUCAUUAAUCUGGACCUGACAGACCUUCAGUAUAAACUGACUUGCAUUUAUUUAUUCUAAAUGGGAAAACAGCACUAAUACAGAUACAGUUCUGAAGCACUAGAGACAAUAACAAAAAAAAAAGUGUUGGGAAAAAAAAAAAA
This is a long non-coding RNA of Pezoporus occidentalis (night parrot), 511 nucleotides long. RefSeq lists it as uncharacterized. The transcript has 4 exons. Lineage: Eukaryota; Metazoa; Chordata; Aves; Psittaciformes; Psittacidae. The record is from RefSeq and is a predicted model, not a curated record.